AUUUUUGUCUUUGUCUCUGUGUACCCGGCUCUCCUGGAACUUGUACUGUAGACCAGUCUGGCCUCAAACUCGCAGAAAUUGACCUGCCUCUGCCUCCCAAGUACUAUAAUUAAAGGCAUAUGCCACCUCUGUCUGGCUUAUGUUUUUGGAAUUUAAGGACAAUUUAAUCAUGUAUUUUUCCUGGGGUUAAAUUGCCUUGUGAGUCAGUUAUGGAGCUGGCUGUUAAAGUAGUACCUGAAGUCUCCCCACAGACUAGGUCACUUGCUGCCAUAGUAGAAGAUGCAACUUUUAAGCUUGAUAGGGUACCAGUAUUUAGAAUUGGUAACACGUCUCAGACAGCUGCCUGUCCUUAUUGUUCAUGAAUUCUUUCCUUCAUUUCUCUUUUCAGUUCAGUCAGGUUGUUUUCACACUCUAUCCAACCUCUGUUGAGAUCACCAGUGGCUUUGUUAAUAAGUCUAAAGUCGGCAUUCAGGCUUUAUCUGAGUUUGGAUACAUUGCUUCAAGUCAGCCAAAGUACAUGGGUCCUUCUGCUCAGGUUUGCCCGCACCUCAGUGAUUUACAUCCUUACUCUUCUGCUUGACCUGUAUUCAUUCCCUUAGUGGUCUUCACCCAGAAUGAAGCUGAGUGUUAUCCCCAUGUCUCUAUUGGGGAAUUUCUAGUUCCAAUUCUCUGUCUCCUAAAUUGGAAUUGACAGAUUCAGUAGCAGCUUCUUCAUUUCAAUAUUUUAAUACUAUUGUAAGCCUAGCCUGUCCAAAACUAAACCUAACUCCCUUGACAUGGUAUUUGCAGGUUUUGUUACAGUAACCCCCUUCUCUUAGGUCAAACACUAAGGAUCACCCUUGACUCAAUUCUUUCGUGUUUAUCUCUAAUUCUCCCAUAGACUUUAUUAGCUUUACCUUGAGUGUAUUCAAAGUGUAUUACUGUACUUCUCAUUCAUCUAGCGUGAUCAGAGGCCCUAUUAUUUGUUAAUUAAACUACUUUCUUGACUUGUCCCCUACUCACAUACUUGCUGCCAUAUUUUAUUAUCAGUAGAGUAAUUCUUUACAAGUCAAAUCAUAUCUUUGCUCACUGUACUCCAGUGACAACCUUUGACUAACAAUGAAGGCCCAAGUCUGUAUAAUGCCCUAAACCUUAUAAAGGUGUGCCUAUACCUAAUGGACUUCACCCUGCAACCCUCCAUUCACUGUUCUAGCCACACUGCACACUGCUGUCUCAUAAGCACUUUGCCAUAGCACUUGCUAUUGCUUGGAAUGCUCUUAUCCAGAAAUGCAUGACUUGAUUCUGUCAUCAUUCUACAUAAAAGUGUAAGCCAUACCCAACACGCUCAGCUUCUGCUGCAUGCUCUACUGUUUUAUCCAAAGUGCUUAUGACCCCACAACAAGCAUCAUUUAUGGUUACUUUUUGUUAUGUAUUGGUUUUCUCUCUCUCACACACACACACUAAAAUUUAAAUCCUAUUAAAGAAUCAGUGUCUAUCUUGUUGACUGAAAUAUUCUGAGCCCCUAAAAUGCUGUCUGCUAUGUGGAAAUAAUUAGCUAAAUAUUUGUUGAGUGAAUAAAUCAGUGGUAAGAUUUGAGAUCAUUCUUUAGUUGAACAGUCAGUCUAAUAUCAAUUUCAUUGCUGUUGUUUUUAUAUAUUAUUUUAGUACUAGGAUUUUUUACAAAACUCAUGAUAAAAAUUCACAAUGAAAUAUAAAAUAGUUUAGAGAAAAUCUAUCCUGUAUGUAAAUGAAGUUGAAGGUGUACCAACACAACAGCCUUCAGUCUUAGGGCAUAAGUAAGUUCUGAAGACUAUAACAAAACAGAAAAGUUAACUGUGCUACAGAGAUGAGGAAAGAGAUAGACUGUGGAACGUACGACCCGAGCUGUUUGGAUCGUGAGUGAUUAUUGGGUUGAAAUGAAAGCUACAUUUGAGCUAUUAAUAGCUACAAGGUGAAGGUAUUUGAGCCCUUUUAAGGUAAAGUUAUAAAGAUGAGUUUUGCUUUGGAUAUGUUAUGCUUAUAAUGGCUUAUAUCAACAUGCUUAAGACCCUGGGUUCUGUC
Molecule: long non-coding RNA, 2040 nt
Filed under: Mus musculus (house mouse)
Lineage: Eukaryota; Metazoa; Chordata; Mammalia; Rodentia; Muridae
Description: long non-coding RNA chr4:44882700-44884740
Source: RNAcentral